AUUGAACGCUGGCGGCAUGCUUUACACAUGCAAGUCGAACGGUAACAGGCCUUCGGUUGCUGACGAGUGGCGAACGGGGGAGUAAUGCUUCGGAACGGACCCACAGGCGGGGGGUAACGCAUCGAAAGCUGUGCUAAUACCGCAUGCGAGCUGAGGAUGAAAGCGGGGGACCGCACUGCAGUGAUUGGCCUUGCGUCUUUGUAGUAGAUGAUGUCGGGUCGCAUUAGCUAGUUGGUAAGGUAAAGGCUUACCAAGGCGACGAUGCGUAGCUGAUCUGAGAGGACGACCAGCCACACUGGAACUGAGACACGGCCCAGACUCCUACGGGAGGCAGCAGUGGGGAAUCUUCGACAAUGGGCGAAAGCCUGAUCCAGCAACGCCGCGUGCGGGAAGAAGGCCUUCGGGUUGUAAACCGCUUUUGGCAGGAAAGAAACGAUGUCUGAUAAAACCGGGAGGUAAUGACGGUACCUGAAGAGUAAGCAACGGCUAACUACGUG
This 497-nucleotide ribosomal RNA is filed under the name uncultured bacterium. RNAcentral describes it as "partial 16S ribosomal RNA". It matches the Rfam family "Bacterial small subunit ribosomal RNA", at positions 30 to 507 of the family's 1533-position model. The record is from RNAcentral.